AGAAAAUGACGUGUAUUAAAGGGUUACCUUGAUAGGGUAAAUUAAGUAAAUAAAAUUACCUUCAUUA
This 67-nucleotide transfer RNA is filed under the name Cyrtacanthacris tatarica. Its description in RNAcentral is "tRNA-Ile". Lineage: Eukaryota; Metazoa; Arthropoda; Insecta; Orthoptera; Acrididae. The record is from RNAcentral.